Emys orbicularis (European pond turtle) is the source of this 182-nucleotide small nuclear RNA. RefSeq annotates it as U2 spliceosomal RNA. The transcript has a single exon. The record is from RefSeq and is a predicted model, not a curated record. Lineage: Eukaryota; Metazoa; Chordata; Testudines; Emydidae.
AUAGUUCUGUGGGAAGGAGCAGAAAAGAGCAUUGUGGCUUCAGUUUAAUAUCUGAUAUGUUCUUUAUUUGAGAACUGUAUGUUAAAUUGAUUUUUGAAACAGGGGGCUGGAAUAGGAGCUUGCUGUGUCCACCCCAUGCAUUGACCUGGUAUUGCAGUGUCUCUAGGACUGGUGCAUCUCCU